CAAUAGCGUAUAUUAAAGUUGUUGCGGUUAAAAAGCUCGUAGUUGGAUUUCUGCUGAGGACGAUCGGUCCGCCCUCUGGGUGAGUAUCUGGCUCGGCCUUGGCAUCUUCUUGGAGAACGUUACUGCACUUGACUGUGUGGUGCGGUAUCCAGGACUUUUACUUUGAGGAAAUUAGAGUGUUUCAAGCAGGCGCACGCCUUGAAUACAUUAGCAUGGAAUAAUAAGAUAGGACCUUGGUUCUAUUUUGUUGGUUUCUAGAGCUGAGGUAAUGAUUAAUAGGGAUAGUUGGGGGCAUUCGUAUUUAACUGUCAGAGGUGGAAUUCUUGGAUUUGUUAAAGACGGACUACUGCGAAAGCAUUUGCCAAGGAUGUUUUCAUUGA
Molecule: ribosomal RNA, 380 nt
Filed under: uncultured eukaryote
Lineage: Eukaryota
Description: partial 18S ribosomal RNA
Rfam family: Eukaryotic small subunit ribosomal RNA
Source: RNAcentral